This 1533-nucleotide ribosomal RNA is filed under the name metagenome. Its description in RNAcentral is "bacterial LSU rRNA". It matches the Rfam family "Bacterial large subunit ribosomal RNA", at positions 1367 to 2925 of the family's 2925-position model. The record is from RNAcentral.
GAUCUGCUCUGGGUAAGUCGGGGCCUAAGGCCAGGUCGAAAGGCGUAACCGAUGGACAACAGGUUGAAAUUCCUGUACCUUAAGUAAACAGAACUGUGGGGACACGUGUGGAGAGCACAAGCCGGAAAUGGAAAAGCCGGUGCAAGCGAGGUAGGAGAUGAACAGGCAAAUCCGUUCAUCAAUCCGAAGACGUGAUGCGGACCGAAUUAAGAGUAGGGAAGUGUGUGAGCCAUGCGUCAAGAAAAGCCGCUAUUGUUUUACUUAAGCCCGUACCGUAAACCGACACAGGUGGAUGAGGAGAGAAUCCUAAGGCCGACGGGAGAAGCAUUGUUAAGGAACUCGGCAAAAUGACUCCGUAACUUCGGGAGAAGGAGUGCCAGCGAGAGCUGGCCGCAGAGAAUUGGCCCAAGCAACUGUUUAGCAAAAACACAGGUCUAUGCAAAACCGUAAGGUGAAGUAUAUGGGCUGACGCCUGCCCGGUGCUGGAAGGUUAAGAGGAGAGGUUAGCGGUAACGCGAAGCUUUGAAUUUAAGCCCCAGUAAACGGCGGCCGUAACAAUAACGGUCCUAAGGUAGCGAAAUUCCUUGUCGGGUAAGUUCCGACCCGCACGAAAGGCGUAAUGAUUUGGGCACUGUCUCAACAAUGCACCCGGUGAAAUUGAAAUACCAGUGAAGAUGCUGGUUACCUGCGCCAGGACGGAAAGACCCCAUGGAGCUUUACUCCAGCUUGUACUGGGAUUCGGUAUUGCAUGUACAGGAUAGGUGGGAGGCUAGGAAGUGAUAACGCCAGUUGUCACGGAGCCGCUGUUGGGAUACCACCCUUGCAGUAUUGGAUUUCUAACCAGCGACCAUGAACUGGUCGGGGGACAAUGUCAGGUGGGGAGUUUGACUGGGGCGGUCGCCUCCGAAGGGUAUCGGAGGCGCUCAAAGGUUCCCUCAGAAUGGACGGAAACCAUUCGAAGAGUGCAAAGGCAGAAGGGAGCUUGACUGCGACACCGACGGGUGGAGCAGGUACGAAAGUAGGACUUAGUGAUCCGGUGGUAUAAAGUGGGAUUGCCAUCGCUCAACGGAUAAAAGCUACCCUGGGAUAACAGGCUUAUCACUCCCAAGAGUUCACAUCGACGGAGUGGUUUGGCACCUCGGUGUCGGCUCAUCGCAUCCUGGGGCUGAAGUAGGUCCCAAGGGUUGGGCUGUUCGCCCAUUAAAGCGGUACGCGAGCUGGGUUCAGAACGUCGUGAGACAGUUCGGUCCCUAUCCGGCGUGGGCGUAGGAUAUUUGAGAGGAGCUGUCCUUAGUACGAGAGGACCGGGAUGGACUGGCCGCUGGUGUAUCUGUUGCAUACCAAAUGCAUGGCAGAGUAGCCAAGCCGGGACGGGAUAAACGCUGAAGGCAUCUAAGCGUGAAGCCCCCCUCAAGAUGAGAUAUCCCUACGUAAGUAGUAAGACCCCUUGAAGACGACAAGGUAGAUAGGUCAGAGGUGGAAGUACAGUAAUGUAUGGAGCUGACUGAUACUAAUCGGUCGAGGGCAUGACCG